UAUCCUACACAGCGCACAUCUGAUUGUUUGGGUUUAUCAGCUUAAAGGGGUACUCCGCCCCUAGACAUCUCAUCACCUAUCCAAAGGAUAUGGGAUAAGAUGUCUGAUCAUGGGGGUCCUGCCACUGUGACCUCUGCGAUCUCGGCUGGGGUAUCCCAAACAUCCGCUGCAUGGAGCAAAAUUUACUAUGUGGCGGAUGACUGGCUAUGCAGGGUGGAGGCCUGUGAUGUCACGGCCAUGCCCCGCUUGGGAUGUCAUGGCCAUGCCCCCUCAAUGCAUGUCUAUGUGAGGGUGCUUGACGGCCAUCACGCCCCCUCUCAUAGACUUACAUUGAGGGGGCGCGGCUGUGACGUCACGAGCCUCUGGCACUGCCCCCGGCCCUCUAAACAAACGCCAGGUGCGGCAGGGAGAUCGCAAGGGUCCCCAGCAAUCAGACAUCUUUGCCCCUAUCCUUUGGAUAGGGGAUAAGAAGUCUAGGGGUGGAGUACCCCUUUAAAAGAUUGGAUUGGAAAUAGUGUACUCACCUGUUCUGAUCCCCUGCUGACAUUUUGAUGGUUCCCAUCCUCAGCUUUACCUAGUCUCGAUCAUAACACAAGAAAUUAGACACUCAGCCAAUCAUUGCUUGAGAAUGGUCAGUGCAUCCAGUGAUGGGCUGAGAAUCACUGCAUCCAGUGAUGGGCUGAGUAGUCACUUGUUUAAGAUCAAAACCAAGAAGUUCUGAGCAGCAGAAUGGUGAAGGAUGAUUGAGGGAAAAAAUGUUUUCCCUUUAGCCCAGCUUUCCCACAUUUACAUAUAAAAAGUAGUCUCUUGACAACUCCUGUAUAGGGUGCAUGUCUAACAAAAAUCAAUUGUCUAAAGUUAACAGCCCUUUUAAGGAACAGUGAGAAAAUGUAUAUGUCCAAAUAGGUCUGAAAGCAUAGUGUUAUCAUAAUUUCAUGUCUCUGUGGCAUGUCAAAUGUUUUGAUUUGUUUUUUUAAUUAUAGCAAUGCUUUAAGCCAAUAAUCCCCAACCCAAUCCUCAAGACCCACAAACAUUCUGGACUCUUUCAGUUACUGCAUUGGAAUAGAAUAGGGAAAAAUUCCAAUUCUUGACUGUUGGCGAAUCUUCAGGACUGGGUUGGGGACCUCUGUUUUUAAAGGGGUAUUUUUUUAUUUGACUAUGCUACAGGGCUGUAAAGUUAGUGUAGUUCAUAAUAUAGUGUCUGUACCUGUGUGUGACAGUUUUCUCACAAUUCUUCUGUGAUUUUCACCCCAAUAUUUAUUUUUAACAGAAUACAAAAUGACUGUUGUCUCAUAUUUUUCCCAGGUUGCAAUGCGGCCGAGACCUGACAUCACUAGUCUGCUGAUGACAAGGAGUCUGUCUGCUUCAAUGGGUGGAGGGAUCGCUUGGUGGGAGAGAGAUCAAUCUGCAACUAAUGCAACAGCUGUAUGAAAACAACAGGACCCACUUAUACUCUGGAAUAAGGGGUACUGGGAGAAUGUAAUAUAAACAACAUGGAUGUACUGUAUAACAAGGCUGUGUCUGCCAUUGCAGGUCACCACCAUUCAAGUGAAUUCAAUGCCCUGCAAAGCCUAAUGGAAUAAGCGAAUAAAAAGUAAUCUUUCUUUUC
Long non-coding RNA from Hyla sarda, 1609 nucleotides. RefSeq lists it as uncharacterized. Lineage: Eukaryota; Metazoa; Chordata; Amphibia; Anura; Hylidae. The transcript has 3 exons. The record is from RefSeq and is a predicted model, not a curated record.